ACUUCACUGAGCCUCAUUAUAUACAUUGGAUAACUUGGAUAUCAGGGCUUAUUCAGACAUUACUUUAUGCUGAUUUCUUCUACUAUUACUUCCAAAGCUGGAAGAACAAUGUUAAGCUUCAGUUACCAGCUUGAGCUUGUAUUUUGACAAAUUGUUGGCAGGCUAAGGAUUCCAAGAAGCAUGCAAGACUAUGAAUUUUUUGUAUCGCAGGUGCUUGGUUUUCUGGUCUUGUCACCCCAUCAUUUUGAGUGCUCUAAUUGGCAUGUUAAGCACAACAUGUGUUGCUGCUACUAUUAUUUUUUUCAUCAAGCGGGGUUUUUUUUCACCCCAUAUAUCGGAUGUUUGAUUUACUGUGUAGUCGAGCAGGGAUUUUAGGGUUUUUUUUAUUUGAAAAUUUGGUAUUGGAAGUAAAACAAAUUCAUGUGGUUAUGUUGAUUCUCUGUUAAGAGUUGUAUUCCUUGU
Long non-coding RNA from Cornus florida, 462 nucleotides. RefSeq lists it as uncharacterized. NCBI's taxonomy places the organism in Eukaryota, Viridiplantae, Streptophyta, Magnoliopsida, Cornales, Cornaceae. The record is from RefSeq and is a predicted model, not a curated record. The transcript has 3 exons.